Bison bison bison is the source of this 107-nucleotide small nuclear RNA. Lineage: Eukaryota; Metazoa; Chordata; Mammalia; Artiodactyla; Bovidae. The record is from Ensembl.
GUGCUCUCUUUGGCAACACAUACACUCAAACUUGAACUAUAUAGAGAAGGUUAUCAUGGCCCCUGCACAAGGAUGACAUGCAAAUUUGUGAAGUGUUCCAUAUUUUG